UACGUAGGGUGCAAGCGUUAAUCGGAAUUACUGGGCGUAAAGCGUGCGCAGGCGGUGAUGUAAGACAGUUGUGAAAUCCCCGGGCUCAACCUGGGAACUGCACCUGUGACUGCAUCGCUGGAGUACGGUAGAGGGGGAUGGAAUUCCGCGUGUAGCAGUGAAAUGCGUAGAUAUGCGGAGGAACACCGAUGGCGAAGGCAAUCCCCUGGACCUGUACUGACGCUCAUGCACGAAAGCGUGGGGAGCAAACAGG
RNAcentral lists this ribosomal RNA (253 nucleotides) under uncultured bacterium. RNAcentral's name for it is "partial 16S ribosomal RNA". It matches the Rfam family "Bacterial small subunit ribosomal RNA", at positions 524 to 776 of the family's 1533-position model. The record is from RNAcentral.